Molecule: ribosomal RNA, 495 nt
Filed under: uncultured bacterium
Lineage: Bacteria
Description: partial 16S ribosomal RNA
Rfam family: Bacterial small subunit ribosomal RNA
Source: RNAcentral
GACGAACGCUGGCGGCGUGCCUAAUACAUGCAAGUAGAACGCUGAAGGAGGAGCUUGCUUCUCUGGAUGAGUUGCGAACGGGUGAGUAACGCGUAGGUAACCUGCCUGGUAGCGGGGGAUAACUAUUGGAAACGAUAGCUAAUACCGCAUAAGAGUAGAUGUUGCAUGACAUUUGCUUAAAAGGUGCAAUUGCAUCACUACCAGAUGGACCUGCGUUGUAUUAGCUAGUUGGUGGGGUAACGGCUUACCAAGGCGACGAUACAUAGCCGACCUGAGAGGGUGAUCGGCCACACUGGGACUGAGACACGGCCCAGACUCCUACGGGAGGCAGCAGUAGGGAAUCUUCGGCAAUGGACGGAAGUCUGACCGAGCAACGCCGCGUGAGUGAAGAAGGUUUUCGGAUCGUAAAGCUCUGUUGUAAGAGAAGAACGAGUGUGAGAGUGGAAAGUUCACACUGUGACGGUAUCUGACCAGAAAGGGACGGCUAACUACGUG